Molecule: long non-coding RNA, 2027 nt
Organism: Vigna radiata var. radiata (mung bean)
Lineage: Eukaryota; Viridiplantae; Streptophyta; Magnoliopsida; Fabales; Fabaceae
Exons: 3
Source: RefSeq, a predicted model, not a curated record
AGUUAUAGAGCAGACUAAGAAGCUAUAGGUUGAUUACUAUUAUAGAUGUUUGUUAAAUAUCAUAUCUGUCUAUUUUUGGAAAAUUCCUUGGUUUUUCAUUCUAAGCUGUUUUUGAGUGUUUUGGAAAUUGUACUGGAAAUUGUAGAGAUGGUUAUGUCAGUUCUAUAUUUCGUUUAAUAGAAAGUGAAGCAUUCUAAUGGUUUCAAUUGCAAUGGUGUUAAUAGACAAAUGAUGGUAAUGCCCAUUUAAUGCUUCCAUUCUCUUAAAUUUUAGUUUGUAUACCAAGUUGAAAUUCAGGACAGGGAAGAGCUAGAUGAUAUAGCUUGGAGGAAGAAAUCUUAAAAAUUGUUUGGGAACUUUAGUUUUCACGAUAUUAUAUGUUCAGAGUAUAUUGAUAAGAAGCACGAGUCUAUUCAAAAUGCAACUACCAAUAAGAAAGCAGACUCUGAUUCUGAAGAGAAAGGAAGAGAUAUUGAGAAAAACGACAAACAUCUCAAACAAGAAGAGAUGGUAUAGUGAUUUGUAGCAUAUUUAUUUAUUUGUUUUGUUUGUUUAAUUUGACCACUAGAUUUCUCUCCAUAAUUUGCUAAAAGUUUAAUUUUUGUGUUAAACUUCAAUGUCAGAUAAAGAUUGNUGAACUGAAACAGGUUUGCUCCUGACCUGAUUUUCUUGAGGUUGGAAUACUCUGUUUAGUAUACUUGGUUUUGAACAUUUGUGNCUUCACUCCAAACUUUCUACUUUGCUCCUAUGCUAUUAUGCAAACCUUGUAAUACUAUCUUUUCACUCUAGUUCUUUUAAUCCAAACAAUCUCACCCUCCUUUCAUUUCUCUUUUGUAUUUUCUCACUCCCCACUUACCAUCACACCAUCUAAAUAAAGGCUUGAGUGCAUGAUAAUAUGGCUGUUAUAUACAUGCACAGUUUUAAAUGCACUGGAUUCUAAUGGUGCAGCAUCCUGCUUCUCACCCAACUCCGUUGACUGUUUUUUUACUGUGUUGUGCAUGCUUGCUAGUGGGUAAGGGAAGAGUGGUGACUCAAUUGACAACCCUUACUCUAAAUGGCACUGAACCCACUUCAGUAACUUUUGUCUUUGCAAUGUUUUCUUCUGUUUUCUCAUGCACACUUAUAUUGAGAAGGAAGAGAGUAAAAUGUUGAAACAAAAGCAAAAGGAAUGCAUGCAACCAAAACUGCAGUAAAUGGAAUUUGAUUAUCAGGUUUUAUUAGAAUCUUGUAGAUAUGUUAAAAUUCUAUAAUCUAGUAACUCUUGGUAUUAGGAUCAAUGAAUUUGAUUUUUAUAUUUAUGUUAUAAGCUAAAAUAGGGUAACUGAAUAUCUUGUAAUCAUGGUUUCUCUCCUAUAAUUGAAUAGCUCCGCAGUGGUCUAAACAUUCUUGGUUUUUCUGUUUUCAACAUGGUAUCAAUAGUCUAAUAAAAAGGGAAUCUUAAUCUGUGUUUUCUCUAGUUGAAUCUAUUUUUCAUCAUUGGCAACUUUCUGGCAAGCUUUUUUCAUCCUUAGCCACCACCACUCACUACUAGCAUCAUUUGGCAAACAAUGUAUACCGAACAUUUUUUUCUCUUAGAGGUGUUUACCACCCUUUAAGCCUUUGUAUUUUCUAGCAAUUGUUCUGCCUUCCUAUUCUUUUUUUCUCUCCGGUGUCCAUUGCACCCUCCAAGUAAUUUUUCCUCGAUGGCAAUUGCUGGACCCUCCAAUAGCCGCUGCACUCUCUUAGAACUUUUGCUCUUAGGUAGCUAUUGAAGACUAAUCCAUUUUUUCUCUGACAGUUAUGUUUUGUCAGCAUUUUUGCUCCUUAGAAACCACCACACUCUAAACAUUUUGAUGUGCUCUCUCUGCAUAUUUUUGUUUCUCCAGUAAUCACUGUGUCCUUUUCACAUUUUUGCUAUUCAGCACCGCACCCUCUAAUCAUUUUUGCUAUCCAAUUCUAUGAUUUUGUUUUGUAAUCUUGAGGUUCUACCUUCUAUCUUAUUUGUUUCUUUAAGGAAAUCAAGUACAUAUUUUCGUUGGCAGAUGAAA